UACGUAGGGUGCAAGCGUUGUCCGGAAUUAUUGGGCGUAAAGAGCUCGUAGGCGGUUUGUCGCGUCGGCUGUGAAAGCCCGGAGCUCAACUCCGGGUCUGCAGUCGAUACGGGCAGACUUGAGUGUUGCAGGGGAGACUGGAAUUCCUGGUGUAGCGGUGAAAUGCGCAGAUAUCAGGAGGAACACCGGUGGCGAAGGCGGGUCUCUGGGCAACAACUGACGCUGAGAAGCGAAAGCAUGGGGAGCGAACAGG
This 253-nucleotide ribosomal RNA is filed under the name uncultured bacterium. Its description in RNAcentral is "partial 16S ribosomal RNA". It matches the Rfam family "Bacterial small subunit ribosomal RNA", at positions 524 to 776 of the family's 1533-position model. The record is from RNAcentral.